AACUUUUGGCAAUGGAUCUCUUGGUACUGGCAUCGAUGAAGAACGCAGCGAAAUGCGAUAAGUAAUGUGAAUUGCAGAAUUCAGUGAAUCAUCGAAUCUUUGAACGCACAUUGCGCCCCUCAGUAUUCCGGGGGGCAUGCCUGUUCGAGCGUCAUUGCACCCCUCAAGCGUAGCUUGGUAUUGGGCUUUCGUCCUUGCGGACGCGCCUGAAAAAGAGUGGCGGUCCGGUGCGACUUCAAGCGUAGUAAAAUAUCUCCCGCUUUGGAAGCUUUCGCGCCGUGGCUGGCCAAAACCCACCCACUUUUCAAUGAUUGACCUCGGAUCAGGUAGGGAUACCCGCUGAACUUAAGAAUAUCAAUAAGAGGAGGCU
RNAcentral lists this unclassified non-coding RNA (370 nucleotides) under uncultured Micarea. RNAcentral describes it as "sequence contains ITS2". The stretch from base 1 to 154 matches the Rfam family "5.8S ribosomal RNA". Lineage: Eukaryota; Fungi; Ascomycota; Lecanoromycetes; Lecanorales; Micareaceae. The record is from RNAcentral.